This 440-nucleotide ribosomal RNA is filed under the name uncultured bacterium. RNAcentral describes it as "partial 16S ribosomal RNA". It matches the Rfam family "Bacterial small subunit ribosomal RNA", at positions 338 to 795 of the family's 1533-position model. The record is from RNAcentral.
CCUACGGGAGGCAGCAGUGGGGAAUAUUGCACAAUGGGGGAAACCCUGAUGCAGCAACGCCGCGUGAGUGAAGAAGUAUUUCGGUAUGUAAAGCUCUAUCAGCAGGGAAGAAAAUGACAGUACCUGACUAAGAAGCCCCGGCUAACUACGUGCCAGCAGCCGCGGUAAUACGUAGGGGGCAAGCGUUAUCCGGAUUUACGGGGGGGAAAGGGAGCGUAGACGGCUGUGCAAGUCAGAAGGGAAAGCCCGGGGCUCAACCGCGGGACUGCUUUUGAAACUGUGUAGCUAGAGUGCAGGAGAGGUAAGUGGAAUUCCUAGUGUAGCGGUGAAAUGCGUAGAUAUUAGGAGGAACACCGGUGGCGAAGGCGGCUUACUGGACUGUAACUGACGUUGAGGCUCGAAAGCGUGGGGAGCAAACAGGAUUAGAUACCCGUGUAGUC